Molecule: ribosomal RNA, 504 nt
Filed under: Preussia sp. 2 JAS-2013
Lineage: Eukaryota; Fungi; Ascomycota; Dothideomycetes; Pleosporales; Sporormiaceae
Description: eukaryotic LSU rRNA
Rfam family: 5.8S ribosomal RNA (bases 152-305)
Source: RNAcentral
AGGAUCAUUAUCGUGGGGCUUCGGCCCCGUUGAGAUAGCACCCUUGCCUUUUUGAGUACCGUCCGUUUCCUCGGCAGGCCCGCCUGCCAAUGGGGACAACUACAACGCCCUGAAGCACCUGUAACUCGCCUGAUAAAACAAACAAAAUCAAAACUUUCAACAACGGAUCUCUUGGUUCUGGCAUCGAUGAAGAACGCAGCGAAAUGCGAUAAGUAGUGUGAAUUGCAGAAUUCAGUGAAUCAUCGAAUCUUUGAACGCACAUUGCGCCCUUUGGUAUUCCUUAGGGCAUGCCUGUUCGAGCGUCAUGUAAUUACUCAAGCAAAGCUUGGUUAUGGGUGCCUGUCCCGCCCCGUGCGUGGACUCACCUCAAAUCCAUUGGCGGCCCCCCGCCGGCCACGAGCGCAGCAGAAACGCGGUCUCGUGCCCCGGUAGGGCGGCUCCCCAGAAGCAAACCCCCCCAUUUUUGACCUCCGGAUCAGGUAAGGGAUACCCGCUGAACUUAAG